This 477-nucleotide ribosomal RNA is filed under the name uncultured bacterium. RNAcentral's name for it is "SSU rRNA". It matches the Rfam family "Bacterial small subunit ribosomal RNA", at positions 26 to 518 of the family's 1533-position model. The record is from RNAcentral.
AGGACAAACGCUGGCGGGGUGCAUGAGACAUGCAAGUCGAACGAGGUGCCAUCGGGCUUGCUCGAUGGUUACCUAGUGGCGGACGGCUGAGUAACGCGUAGGUGACCUACCCGGAAGUGGGGAAUAACUGCCCGAAAGGGUGGCUAAUACCGCAUGUGGUCGGCGAUUCGAUUCGCCGUCUAAAGGAGCAAUUCGCUUCCGGAGGGGCCUGCGUCCGAUUAGCUAGUUGGUGGGGUAACGGCUCACCAAGGCGACGAUCGGUAGCUGGUCUGAGAGGAUGAUCAGCCAGACUGGGACUGAGAACGGCCCAGACUCCUACGGGAGGCAGCAGUCGGGAAUUUUGCCCAAUGGACGAAAGUCUGAGGCAGCAACUCCGCGUGAGGGAUGAAGGCUCUCGGGUCGUAAACCUCUUUCUCAGGGAAGAUCCAAGACGGUACCUGAGGAAUAAGCGACGGCUAACUACGUGCCAGCAGCCGC